Molecule: ribosomal RNA, 427 nt
Filed under: uncultured bacterium
Lineage: Bacteria
Description: partial 16S ribosomal RNA
Rfam family: Bacterial small subunit ribosomal RNA
Source: RNAcentral
UGGGGAAUAUUGGACAAUGCGCGAAAGCCUGAUCCAGCCAUGCCGCGUGUGUGAAGAAGGUCUUCGGAUUGUAAAGCACUUUAAGUUGGGAGGAAGGGCAUUAACCUAAUACGUUAGUGUUUUGACGUUACCGACAGAAUAAGCACCGGCUAACUCUGUGCCAGCAGCCGCGGUAAUACAGAGGGUGCAAGCGUUAAUCGGACUUACUGGGCGUAAAGCGCGCGUAGGUGGUUUGUUAAGUUGGAUGUGAAAUCCCCGGGCUCAACCUGGGAACUGCAUUCAAAACUGACUGACUAGAGUAUGGUAGAGGGUGGUGGAAUUUCCUGUGUAGCGGUGAAAUGCGUAGAUAUAGGAAGGAACACCAGUGGCGAAGGCGACCACCUGGACUAAUACUGACACUGAGGUGCGAAAGCGUGGGGAGCAAACA